GACGAACGCUGGCGGCGUGCUUAACACAUGCAAGUCGAACGAAGAGCGAUGGAAGCUUGCUUCUAUCUAUCUUAGUGGCGCACGGGUGCGUAACGCGUAAUCAACCUGCCCUUCCGAGGGGGACAACAGUUGGAAACGACUGCUACUACCGCAUACGAUCUAAUCUCGGCAUCGAGGAUAGAUGAAAGGUGGCCCCUACAUGUAAGCUAUCACGGAAGGACGGGAUUGCGUCUGAUUAGAUAGUUGGAGGGGUAACGGCCCACCAAGGCGAUGAUCAGUAGCCGGUCUGAGAGGAUGAACGGCCACAUUGGGACUGAGACACGGCCCAGACUCCUACGGGAGGCAGCAGUAGGGAAUCUUCCGCAAUGGACGAAAGUCUGACGGAGCAACGCCGCGUGAGUGAUGACGGCCUUCGGGUUGUAAAGCUCUGUUAAUCGGGACGAAAGGCCUUCUUGCGAAUAGUGAGAAGGAUUGACGGUACCGGAAUAGAAAGCCACGGCUAACUACGUG
This 510-nucleotide ribosomal RNA is filed under the name uncultured bacterium. RNAcentral's name for it is "partial 16S ribosomal RNA". It matches the Rfam family "Bacterial small subunit ribosomal RNA", at positions 28 to 507 of the family's 1533-position model. The record is from RNAcentral.